GGGUAAAAACUUAAGCAUAUCAAUAAGCGGAGGAAAAGAAACUAACAAGGAUUCCCCUAGUAACUGCGAGUGAAGCGGGAAAAGCUCAAAUUUAAAAUCUGGCAGUCUUUGAUUGUCCGAGUUGUAAUCUGGAGAAGUGCUUUCCGCGCUGGACCGUGUACAAGUCUCUUGGAAUAGAGCGUCAUAGAGGGUGAGAAUCCCGUCUUUGACACGGACUACCGGUGCUUUGUGAUGCGCUUUCAAAGAGUCGAGUUGUUUGGGAAUGCAGCUCAAAAUGGGUGGUAAAUUCCAUCUAAAGCUAAAUAUUGGCGAGAGACCGAUAGCGAACAAGUACCGUGAGGGAAAGAUGAAAAGCACUUUGGAAAGAGAGUUAAACAGUACGUGAAAUUGCUGAAAGGGAAACACUUGAAGUCAGUCGCGUUGUUCAGAACUCAGCCUGGCCUUGGCCUGGUGCAUUUUCUGAAUGACGGGCCAGCAUCAAUUUCGACUGUUGGAUAAAGGUUGGGGAAAUGUGGCUUCUUCGGGAGUGUUAUAGUCCUUGGCUGCAUACAAUGGUUGGGAUUGAGGAACUCAGCAUGCCUUUAUGGUCGGGGUUCGCCCACGUUCAUGCUUAGGAUGCUGGCGUAAUGGCUUUAAAUGACCCGUCUUGAAACACGGACCAAGGAGUCUAACAUGCCUGCAAGUGUUUGGGUGGAAAACCCGAGCGCGCAAUGAAAGUGAAAGUUGGGAUCCCUGUCGUGGGGAGCACCGACGCCCGGACCAGACCUUCUGUGACGGAUCCGCGGUGGAGCAUGUAUGUUGGGACCCGAAAGAUGGUGAACUAUGCCUGAAUAGGGUGAAGCCAGAGGAAACUCUGGUGGAGGCUCGUAGCGAUUCUGACGUGCAAAUCGAUCGUCAAAUUUGGGUAUAGGGGCGAAAGACUAAUCGAACCCUUUUGCCC
RNAcentral lists this ribosomal RNA (940 nucleotides) under Physisporinus sp. CGW-2022g. RNAcentral describes it as "partial large subunit ribosomal RNA". It matches the Rfam family "Eukaryotic large subunit ribosomal RNA", at positions 26 to 950 of the family's 3401-position model. The record is from RNAcentral. Lineage: Eukaryota; Fungi; Basidiomycota; Agaricomycetes; Polyporales; Meripilaceae.